Molecule: ribosomal RNA, 508 nt
Filed under: uncultured bacterium
Lineage: Bacteria
Description: partial 16S ribosomal RNA
Rfam family: Bacterial small subunit ribosomal RNA
Source: RNAcentral
GACGAACGCUGGCGGCGUGCCUAAUACAUGCAAGUCGAACGCCUCUUUCCUCCCGAGUGCUUGCACUCAAUUGGAAAGAGGAGUGGCGGACGGGUGAGUAACACGUGGGUAACCUACCCAUCAGAGGGGGAUAACACUUGGAAACAGGUGCUAAUACCGCAUAACAGUUUAUGCCGCAUGGCAUAAGAGUGAAAGGCGCUUUCGGGUGUCGCUGAUGGAUGGACCCGCGGUGCAUUAGCUAGUUGGUGAGGUAACGGCUCACCAAGGCCACGAUGCAUAGCCGACCUGAGAGGGUGAUCGGCCACACUGGGACUGAGACACGGCCCAGACUCCUACGGGAGGCAGCAGUAGGGAAUCUUCGGCAAUGGACGAAAGUCUGACCGAGCAACGCCGCGUGAGUGAAGAAGGUUUUCGGAUCGUAAAACUCUGUUGUUAGAGAAGAACAAGGACGUUAGUAACUGAACGUCCCCUGACGGUAUCUAACCAGAAAGCCACGGCUAACUACGUG